Molecule: long non-coding RNA, 777 nt
Filed under: Vulpes vulpes (red fox)
Lineage: Eukaryota; Metazoa; Chordata; Mammalia; Carnivora; Canidae
Description: lncRNA (ENSVVUG00000010791.1)
Source: RNAcentral
UUGAUACCUACUCCUGAUUUAUGAUAUAAAUAAUUUUCUCAGAACUUCAGAGCACAGAGAGGUCCCUGUGGGGGUGACAAAAUGCACCUACCUCACAGCUCAAUCUCUUAAUUUGGUUUCCAGGUGCUACUGUCACUCACGAUGUCCAUAACAAGAAGAUGGAAAAUAAUCCGACCCCACCUGAGGGCUUCUUGCCAAAAUCUGCUGCACCAGGGGUGAUGAAUAUGUCAGGAGCUGGUAUUCCACCCAACCAAAUGGGUUCUCCCUGUGACGACUUCACUAAAGAUGACCUGAUUCAUAAACCUGGUAGUAAUUCACUUGGAGGAGGAACCAAAAGCCACAGUGUCUCUGCAGAAUAUGAAAGAGUUUUCACUUUGAAGAAGUGCAAUGACCUCUUGCAGUCAAGAAACAGUUUGUUGAAUAUACCAUCAAGGAAGCUGAAAGUGCAUGGCAAGAACUCCAUUCAUCUUAGUACAGCAUGAGGGUCCCCAGUUGAAGAGACCAGCACAGAACUGAGUGCUCCUAGACAAACAAUUUCUGCAACAGGAGGUGGAUCAAAGAAGAAAGGAUGGGCUUCUGAUUGCCUGCACCUAGAACAACAAAGUCUCCUUUCAAGGGGACUGACUCAGAAAACCAGUUCACAUUAACAGUAGAGAGUCUACUGAAAGCUAAAGCCCACAUCUCCUUUGGGGCGAUGUUCCUGCCCCACAAGAGCAUGUGGGCCUGUGGCAGAGCUCUUCUGUGCAUUGAGUGUCUCCCUUGUGUACCAGGUUUCCC